UACGUAGGGGGCUAGCGUUGUCCGGAAUCAUUGGGCGUAAAGAGCGCGUAGGCGGCCAGAUAAGUCCGGUGUGAAAGCCCCCGGCUCAACUGGGGAGGGUCACGCGAUACUGAUCGACUCGAAGGCAGGAGAGGGUAGUGGAAUUCCCGGUGUAGUGGUGAAAUGCGUAGAUAUCGGGAGGAACACCAGUGGCGAAGGCGACUACCUGGCCUGUUACUGACGCUGAGGCGCGAAAGCUAGGGGAGCAAACGGG
RNAcentral lists this ribosomal RNA (253 nucleotides) under uncultured bacterium. RNAcentral describes it as "partial 16S ribosomal RNA". It matches the Rfam family "Bacterial small subunit ribosomal RNA", at positions 524 to 776 of the family's 1533-position model. The record is from RNAcentral.